UUGUCAAAGAAGCCAAAAAUUCUUGAAACAAAUGCUACAUUAUGUCGCGUUGUUGAUGACAUAGCAAGCUACGAGGUAUAUCUGUAUUAGACAAAACAAGAUCAUUUUAAUUGUGUUGACAAGCUAAAUAUAACCAUACUAUUGAUUACAUAUUUAAACCUGCUUUAUUAUUUAUAUUUUAGGUUGAGAAGGGUAAAGGCCAAAUUUCCACAAGAAUUGAGUGUUACAUGAGAGAUUAUGGCAUAUUAACAGAAGAGCUAAUGGACAAAUUCCAAGAAAUGGUUGAAAUAGCGUGGAAGGAUGUGAAUAAAGGAAUUCUCAAACCAACUCACGUCCCUAGGGAGAUUUUUAAUCGCAUUCUCAAUCUUGCACGUUGCACGUGUUAUAGAUGUCACAUACAAAUACAAUCAAAGUAGUAAAAGUUUUUAAACCAAAGAUAUCGUUGCUCUGCUAGUGGAAUCUAUCGAAAUAUAAACCCUCAACCUUAUGCUGAUCUAGAGAGCUGUUGGCUCCCCUUUGGAAAAAAAUAAUUUCUUCAUGUUAUUAAUUUUGCAUGUAUGUUGUAUAUAGUUUUUUAAACUAGGUUGUUUGUUAUGUUGCGCUAAAUAUCCUUGCUAAUUUGGGCAAAAAAUCGGUACUUCGUAUUUUUGAUAUCUUUGCAUUAAGCAUAUAUAAUUAUGUUAUUUAACAAUGUAUCCUUUCUUAACGCCCAUCACAACAGUUGUUUUCAAUCGAUACUCGUCACGCCCAAAGAUUGCGUAACGCCUUAGAAUCAAAAUUCUUCAAUAAAAAAUAACUGGCUUGUGAAGAAUAGAUUUACUGAUCUCAACCUUAUAAGAUAAAAUGUGAGUUGAUAGAAUCUUGAAAUAAUUAAUAACAAACUUAAGCAAGAAUCAUGACUCAAUGGCAAAAACCAACUAAGAACAUAGAGAAAAAUUAUUUAUUUAUAUCUUAAGUUAUAAUAUAAAUCGACCAUAAAAAUUAAAGCUACUAGAAACAGCAACCAAAACUCCUAAGAAGAGUUGAUGAAACCCAACCAAGUUAAACCCUAAUAACAUAAUAUUCAUAGGAAAAAUAAAGGUGAAGAAAAGAACCCUCCAAAUACUAAAAAAAGUUUUAAUGCUUUGAAUCUUGUUGUGGGACAUCAUGAGAAUAUCCAGGAAAGUUUGGUGGAAAAGGAAACCAAGGACGAUAGUAAUAAGGAAAAUAUGGAGAGCUAUAGCUGCCAUAAGGGUUAGAGUAGGAAAAACCAUUGCCAGGAUUAUAAUUGUAAGAACCUUGAAUUGGCUGCCCAGGGCCCCAGCCAUAGCUAUAUGAGAAGGAACUUGCUUCUCCACUGCUGAUCAUCAAUGACACACAUAUGCAAAGAGAGAGGAAUAUUAUCAUGGAACUUGACUUAGCCAUGAAUUGAUGGGAAAGAAUAUAUCGCUGAGGUAAUUAUUAUUAUAAAAAUAAAAAUAGAUGAAAUGGAAUGAACUAUAUAUGGUUUAGUAUUUAUAGUGUUGAGUGGAGCUGAUUUUGUUUAGAUGGGAGAUUAGCUGUAACUUCAUUUUCUUGGGGAUAAGCUUUAGAUGGACACUUGAUAAGGUAUUG
This 1593-nucleotide long non-coding RNA is filed under the name Nicotiana tabacum (common tobacco). RNAcentral describes it as "long non-coding RNA (NTAB_LNC017606)". Lineage: Eukaryota; Viridiplantae; Streptophyta; Magnoliopsida; Solanales; Solanaceae. The record is from RNAcentral.